AUUGAACGCUGGCGGCAGGCCUAACACAUGCAAGUCGAACGGUAACAGGAAGCAGCUUGCUGCUUUGCUGCCGAGUGGCGGACGGGUGAGUAAUGUCUGGGAAACUGCCCGAUGGAGGGGGAUAACUACUGGAAACGGUAGCUAAUACCGCAUAACGUCGCAAGACCAAAGAGGGGGACCUUAGGGCCUCUUGCCAUCGGAUGUGCCCAGAUGGGAUUAGCUAGUAGGUGGGGUAACGGCUCACCUAGGCGACGAUCCCUAGCUGGUCUGAGAGGAUGACCAGCCACACUGGAAGUGAGACACGGUCCAGACUCCUACGGGAGGCAGCAGUGGGGAAUAUUGCACAAUGGGCGCAAGCCUGAUGCAGCCAUGCCGCGUGUAUGAAGAAGGCCUUCGGGUUGUAAAGUACUUUCAGCGGGGAGGAAGGGAGUAAAGUUAAUACCUUGGCUCAUUGACGUUACCCGCAGAAGAAGCACCGGCUAACUCCGUG
RNAcentral lists this ribosomal RNA (490 nucleotides) under uncultured bacterium. Its description in RNAcentral is "partial 16S ribosomal RNA". It matches the Rfam family "Bacterial small subunit ribosomal RNA", at positions 30 to 507 of the family's 1533-position model. The record is from RNAcentral.